CCUACGGGUGGCAGCAGUAGGGAAUCUUCGGCAAUGGACGAAAGUCUGACCGAGCAACGCCGCGUGAGUGAAGAAGGUUUUCGGAUCGUAAAACUCUGUUGGUAGAGAAGAACGUUGGUGAGAGUGGAAAGCUCAUCAAGUGACGGUAACUACCCAGAAAGGGACGGCUAACUACGUGCCAGCAGCCGCGGUAAUACGUAGGUCCCGAGCGUUGUCCGGUUUUAUUGGGCGUAAAGCGAGCGCAGGGGGUUUAUUAAGUCUGGUGUAAAAGCAGUGGCUCAACCAUUGUAUGCAUUGGAAACUGGUAGACUUGAGUGCAGGAGAGGAGAGUGGAAUUCCAUGUGUAGCGGUGAAAUGCGUAGAUAUAUGGAGGAACUCCGAUUGCGAAGGCAGCAUACCGGCGCGCAACUGACGCUCAUGCACGAAAGCGUGGGUAUCGAACAGGAUUAGAUACCCGGGUAGUC
RNAcentral lists this ribosomal RNA (464 nucleotides) under uncultured bacterium. RNAcentral's name for it is "partial 16S ribosomal RNA". It matches the Rfam family "Bacterial small subunit ribosomal RNA", at positions 338 to 795 of the family's 1533-position model. The record is from RNAcentral.